GACAGAGGGUGCAAACGUUGUUCGGAAUUACUGGGCGUAAAGCGCGUGUAGGCUGCUUGGAAAGUCGGAUGUGAAAGCCCUGGGCUCAACCCAGGAAGUGCAUUCGAAACUUCUGAGCUUGAGUUUCGGAGAGGAAAGCGGAAUUCUCGGUGUAGAGGUGAAAUUCGUAGAUAUCGAGAGGAACACCGGUGGCGAAGGCGGCUUUCUGGACGAAAACUGACGCUGAGACGCGAAAGCGCGGGGAGCAAACAGG
This 253-nucleotide ribosomal RNA is filed under the name uncultured bacterium. Its description in RNAcentral is "partial 16S ribosomal RNA". It matches the Rfam family "Bacterial small subunit ribosomal RNA", at positions 524 to 776 of the family's 1533-position model. The record is from RNAcentral.